RNAcentral lists this ribosomal RNA (1359 nucleotides) under Triticum aestivum (bread wheat). RNAcentral's name for it is "partial small subunit ribosomal RNA". The record is from RNAcentral. Lineage: Eukaryota; Viridiplantae; Streptophyta; Magnoliopsida; Poales; Poaceae.
AUGAGAACCUUGAAUGGCAAGAGAGAUCUUGUAAGGCCUGGAGCAACUCGUUUUGCAACCUCCUUCCUCACAUUGGCCAGCAUGUGGAAACAACGCCAACAUUUGAAAGCACUAUUUGUUAGCACAGAAUGGCAUGCAAACAAGUUGAAGCUCACCCCACCAGGGAAGAUGGCUGAAAAUACCAUGCUCUCUGUGACGUUUUGGCAAUCGGUGGAGAACUGCAUGAGAGCUUCACAACCCAUUCUUGUUGCUUUGAGGAUUGUUGAUGGUGAUGACAGUCCAGCAAUGCCCGAAAUUUGGGCAGCCAUGGAUGUUGCGAAGACACACAUAAAGGAUGCAUUGUCACAAAGGCCAGGCCUACAAAGUCAAGUGCUAGCAAUUGUUGACAAGAGGUGGGAUCACCAGAUGGAGCAAAAGCUACAUGGGGCUGCAAUGUUUUUGAACCCCAGCAAGUUCUUUCAAAUGAAGGAGACUAACAAAAGACUAGCUGCACGGCUGCGUUCAAUGUUCAAUGAUGUGCUAUGGAAGAUGGUGCCGGAUGAUGAACUACAAUCCAAGAUAAGUAAAUUGGCUGAUGAUUAUGAGCUCACGGAGGGUGAAUGUUUCACCAAGCAAAUGGCAAUUAAAGACCGCGAGAAAAAGAGUCCUCUACUUUGGUGGAAUGCAUAUGGUGGCCUUGCUUAUGACCUCCAAUCUUUUGCAAAACGGAUCAUUAGUCUAUGUUGUUCAUCGUCUGGCUGUGAGCGCAAUUGGAGUGCAUUUUCUCAUAUCCAUACCAAAGGAAGAAACCGUUUGGAGUAUAAGAGAUUGAACAAGCUAGCAUAUGUCUCAUACAACCGGCAAAUGACAACUAGGUUUGAAAAGUUACGCGAGCAAGGUUCCAAAGGAAAGAGGGCUAAUGCACUUAUCCUAGAAGAAUUUCAAUGGGAUAAUGAAUGGGUUGAUGUUACUGCUGAAUUGGUUCAUCAAAAUGACGCUAUGGACGAUGACAAUCCACUACUUUGGUCCCAUGUUGAUGAGGCCGUUGGCGCGACCGAUGGUCUAAGUGGACGCCAUCUUCCAAGGAGGGCUCGUGGUGAUUUCAGUGAGUCUAGUCCUCCCGCUGGCUCUAAUAUCUUUUACACUCAAAGGACAAGUGUGGUUGUCCAUGAUGAAGACUUGCGGGCUGAAUUGGAAGCUGAAGAUAUUGAUAGUGACAUGGAGACCAAUGUUUCACUUCUUUCUAGGAUUCCAUUUUGCGCUAGUCCACCAAGUCCUCCACCAAUAUCCGCAACAACCCCGUGGCAUUUCUGGAAUUACAUUACACAAAAAGAGAACAGGGAAAUGUGUAGACAUCAUAUCAUACAGCUAGAAUGCUAA